RNAcentral lists this transfer RNA (66 nucleotides) under Chrysomallon squamiferum (scaly-foot gastropod). Its description in RNAcentral is "tRNA-Pro". Lineage: Eukaryota; Metazoa; Mollusca; Gastropoda; Neomphalida; Peltospiridae. The record is from RNAcentral.
CAGACAAGUAGUUUAAUAAAAAUAUUGGCAUUGGAAGCCAAAGAUUGGGACGAUCCUACUUUCUGA